GAGUCUUGGGCCCUGGCAGUGGA
RNAcentral lists this non-coding RNA (23 nucleotides) under Cricetulus griseus (Chinese hamster). The record is from RNAcentral. Lineage: Eukaryota; Metazoa; Chordata; Mammalia; Rodentia; Cricetidae.